RNAcentral lists this transfer RNA (77 nucleotides) under Hyphomicrobiales bacterium. RNAcentral describes it as "Rhizobiales bacterium (beach sand metagenome) tRNA-His". It matches the Rfam family "tRNA". From Rfam's summary of the family: Transfer RNA (tRNA) molecules are approximately 80 nucleotides in length. Their secondary structure includes four short double-helical elements and three loops (D, anti-codon, and T loops). The record is from RNAcentral. Lineage: Bacteria; Pseudomonadati; Pseudomonadota; Alphaproteobacteria; Hyphomicrobiales.
GCCGCUGUAGCUCAGUUGGUUAGAGCGCUUGAUUGUGGAUCAAGAGGUCGCAUGUUCGAUUCAUGCCAGCGGUACCA